This 74-nucleotide transfer RNA is filed under the name Danionella translucida. It matches the Rfam family "tRNA". From Rfam's summary of the family: Transfer RNA (tRNA) molecules are approximately 80 nucleotides in length. The record is from Rfam by way of RNAcentral. RNAcentral also lists the same sequence under 1 other name. Lineage: Eukaryota; Metazoa; Chordata; Actinopteri; Cypriniformes; Danionidae.
GGUGCUGUGGAUUAGGUGGUUAAAGUGCCUGUCUCGUAAACAGGAGAUCCUGGGUUCAAAUCCCAGCGGUUCCU